UCAACAUCACAAGACUAAGAAAAAUCCCAAAAUCCGGAAACUCACAGGCAACACAGGCAAUAGAAAUGAAUAACAAAGUUCUCUAGUCUCCAGAAGCGUCUACAUCAAAGAACGAAAGGAAGCAAAAAAGAAACGAAGAUAAACACUACAAGACAUAAUAAAAGCGAUAAUCUUCGGUCUGCGGACGUGGCAGAUAUACGUUAAAGUCUCUGUAGCUCUCCCUGAUCACUGAUAAUGCGCCUGAGAGGAGAUACCUGGAUAUGCACAUGAAAAACAUGCGCAAAAGAGGCGUGAGUACGCAACAACGGUACACAGUAGGUGACAAGCCUAACCUCGGUUGGGUAGUGACGAGGAAGGUCAGGGCCCUACUGAGAUAAAACGUAAUAAUAAGAAUGUACAAUAUGAAAACAAAUAGAAUAAUAGAAAGAACAGUGAAAUAAAUCAGAAAAUACAAGUCAACAACAAAUAAACGAAGUAAGGAAUAAACACGGAAAUGCAAAGCUCAAUACCAAAGAUACCAUGAGGAUCCCCAAGAUACCGUCAUGUAGCCCUUUCUCACUGUCCAGGAGAUCACCUGGGAUAGCGUCCUACAGUCCAUCAUAUAUGUAUAUCCAAAGUAUCUCCGGGGAUACCGUCCCAUAGUCGAACUAUCAAUGUGCAGGGGGAUCUAUCGGAAAUCUAAACCGCAGUCCCAAAGUAAAUGUGCAGGGAGAUCUACCGGAAAUAGAACCCACAGUCCCAAAGUAAACAAACGAGGGAGGAGCUACCGGAAUCCCACAUCCUUAGUCCCAAUAUAAAUAAACACCAACAACAAGAGAAUAAUUAGAAACAGAGUUAAACACCAAGGCAAUAGUGAAUCUAGCCUAACAUGCUUCACGUAAUGCAGCAAGGCAACUUUAAGCAACGAAACCAAUUAAGUCAACUAAACGUGCUUUUCUACGCUAUCAGAGGCUAUAUUGCAAGUAAACAAAGCAAGUAAGAAAGGAAUAGCGACUUGUUCAUGUUAAGUAAUAAUCGGAUGUUCGACUAUUAGCACAAGUACGUGCUCGUCACCUCACGUACAAGGCACUCAAUCAUCUAUAUCAAGUCCUAAGGGGAGAAGGUCCCCUACACAAAGUUAGAUGAGCCACUUACCUCGAACCGGCUCAAACUCAACUACGAACCACGCCUUUGCCACGAGUAUCCGACUCCAAACGACCCAAAUCUAUCCAAUUCAAUUACAUAUCGUAAAUAACAUUGCAAGCAACUGAUUCCACUUUUAAAUUUAAAGCUGAGGAGUGAAAAUAGUAAAAUGACCAAAAUGCCCCUCGAGACAACGUCUCGAAAUCGGUUAAUUUUAACAUUUUCAGAACCCACAUACUCUCACAAGUCUAACCAUAUAAAACUCUAACAAAUGGGAGGUCAAAUGCGCACAAAAAACUUAAUAGUUUGGUCGAGAAAGUUUCCCCCAAUAUGCGAAAGCGAUACUGGUCAUGCGAUUGCAGAAGAGAGAUAGGGGCAGGCUUAUGCGAUCACGGGAAAUACAAUGCGAUCGUAUAGAGGAACUUGGUCCUUAAGCCACCGGCAUAGUUUAUUCAAUGCGACCGCAGGGAAUGCAAUGCUAACGCGGAGAAGAAAAAGGAAAAACUAUGUGAUCCCGAUUUGGGAUAUGCGAUCACAUAGAAGGAUUAGGCCCCCUCUGAAAUUGCACUACACGAUCAUAUGGAUGGGUAUGCGAUCGCAAUGAAGAAAGAGGUCUACAACUACUGAAGAGAGAAUCUUCAACUAUCACAACACAAAAAUGCCUCGUUGAACAUCCGAAACACACCAAGGCCCCCAAGACCUUAACCAAACCUAAAGACAUAUCCCAUGACAUCAUUCAAACUUGUAGUAAUCCUCAAACGACAUAAAACAUUGCCGAAAACACAAAUUAAUCUAGGAUUUGAGCCUAAGACUUCAAAUUUCAUCAAAAAACUUCGAUCAAAGACCUAACCAAAACACGUCCGAAUGACCUGAAAUUUUGCACACACAUCCUAAUUGACAUGGCGGAGCUACUGAAAUUUCCGGAAUUCCAAUCCAACCCUUGGAUCAAUAACUCUCUAUCAAACCGAAAACAUCAAAAUUUCAAACUUUGGCAUUUCAAGCUUAAAUGAGCUACGAACAUCCAAAAUACAUUUCGAACAUGCUCCCAACCCCGAAAUCCCCUAAGGGAAGAAGGGGUUAUCCAUUCUCAGGUCAUAAUCACACUAUUAUGGAUACGGCACACUUUCCAAUGGGUAAGCUCUCAUUUAGGGACUAAGUGUCCCGAUACUCUCCGAAACCCAACACCGAACGUUCCGACAAACCAAAAUUGUAGAAGUAAACUUAGGGAAAACAGUUAAUGGGGGAUCAGGGCAUAAUUUCCAAAAAUGACCGGCCAGGUCGUUACAUCGUCCUACACUUAAACAUUUGUGCAUCCUCUAACGAGAAUAGAGAAUAUAGCUGAAGUAGUGAAAAGAUGAGGGUACCGGCUACGCAUAUCCUGUUCGGUCUCCCAAGUCACCUUCUCAGCCGGUUGACCCCGCCACUGAAACUUUACUGAAGCAAUGUUCUUUGACCUAAUCUUUCUGACAUGCCUGUCCAAUACAGACAUUGCCUCCACAAUAUAAGACAGAUCCUUGUCCAGCUGGACUGAAGUGAAAUCCAACACGUGCGACGGAUUACCGUGAUACCUCCGGAGCACCGAAACAUGAAAUACCGGAUGUACCCCCGCCAAACUGGGAGGUAAGCAAGCUCAUAAGCAACCUCCCCAACUCGCCUCAAAAUCUCAAAAGGGCCAAUAAAUCUCGGACACAACUUCCCAAAUAUCAUAACACCUUUCAUAGGCGUAACCUGAAGCAGAACCCGCUCACAAACCAUAUAGGAAACAUCACGAAUCUUCUGGUCCGCGUAACCGGUAUGUCUGGACUCGGGUGUACCGAAUAGUCUCGCCUCACCCAGCUCCAACCAAUCCACCGGAGAUCUGCACCUCCUACCAUAUAAAGCCUCAUACGAUGCCAUCUGAAUAUUGGACUUAUAAUUGUUGGUGUAAGCAAACUCCGCCAAUGGUAAGAACUGAUCCCAAGACCCUCCAAACUCAAUCACACACACACAGAGCAUAUCCAAAAGAAUCUGAAUAGUGUGCUCGGACUGUCCGUCUGUCUGGGGGAGAAAUGUUAUGCUCAUCAUCACCUGAGUACCCAACUCUUGCUGAACGGCUCUGCAGAACUGUGAUGUGAACUGAGUACCCUGUUUGAAAUAAUAGAAACUGGAAUGCCACGGAAACGAACAAUCUCCCUGAUAUAAAUCUCUUCCAACCGCUCCAAUGAAUAAGUGGUACACACAUGAAUGAAGUGCGCGGACUUGGUCAGGCCAUCUAAAACAACCCAACUGGCAUUGAAUUUCUGUGCAGUCUGAGGGAGUCCAACUACAAAAUCCAUGGUGAUCCUCUCCCAUUUCCACUCCCGAAUCUCCAUCUAGUGAAGUAACCCACCCGAUCUAUGGUGCUCGGGCUUCACCUGCUAGCAGUUGAGGCAUCUAGCUACAAAUCCCGCUAUGUCCUUCUUGAUCUGCCUCCACCAAAUUGUAUUGUGUCAAGUCCUGACAAAUCUUCGCGGCAUCCGGAUGGAUGGAAUACUAUGAACUAUGAGCCUCUGUCAAUAUCAUCUCCCGAAUAUUAUCAACAUUAGGUACACAAAUCCGACCAUGCAUCCUCAAUACCCCGUCAUCACCAAUGGUCACAUCCCUUGCAUCGCCAAGCUGAACCGUGUCCCUGAGGACAAGUAAAUGAGGGUCAUCAUACUGCCACUCCCUGAUACAAUCGAACAAUGAAGACCGAGAAACCACACAGGCUAGAACCCGAUUGGGAUGUGUAAGAUCCAAUCACGCAAACUAGCUGGCUAAGGCCUGAACAUCCAUCGCCAUAGGCCUCUCUAAAGCUGGUAAAUAUGCCAAACUCCGCAAACUCUCCGUCCGGGAAAUCAAGGUAUCGGCAACAACAUUGGCCUUUCCCGAUUGAUAAAGAAUAGUAAUACCAUAAUCCUUCAGCAACUCCAACCACCUUCUCUUGCGCAAGUGUAGAUCCUUUUGCUUGAACAAGUGUUGCAAACUCCGAUGGUCAGUGUAAAUCUCACAAGGCACAACAUACAAAGAAUGACACUAGAUAUUCAAGGCAUGAACUACAGCACCUAACUCAAGGUUGUGGAUAGGGUAAUUCUUCUCACGUAUCUUCAAGUGUCUGGACAAGUAGGCAAUCACCCUACCGUCCUGCAUCAACACCGCUCCAAGGCCAACCCGUGAGGCAUAAAAAAAACUAUAUAAGAUCCUAAACCAGUAGGCAAUAUCAAAAUAGGGGCUGUAGUCAAAGCCGUCUUGAGCUUCCGAAAGCUCGUUGCACACUCCUCUGUCCACUUAAAUGGAGAACCCUUCUAGGUCAAUCUAGCCAUAAGAGCCGCAAUCGGCGAAUACCCCUCCAUAAAAUGACAGCAAUAACCCGCCAUGCCAAGGAAGCUACGAAUCUUUGUAGCUGAGGAGGGCCAAGGCCAACUCUGCACAGCGUCCCCUUCUUCGGAUCCACCCGAACGCCCUCACUCGAUACCACGUGGCCUAAGUGCCAUAGAACUCAACCAAAACUCACAUAUUGAGAACUUUGCAAAUAACUUCUUCACUCUCAGGCUCUGAAGCACUGCCCUCAGGUGCUGCUCAUGAUCUUCCUAACUACUGGAGUAUACAAGAAUAUUGUCUAUGAAAACAAUGACGAACGAGUCGAGAUAGGGCCUGAAUACACUGUGCAUCAAAAAUAUAAAAGUUGUUGGGGCAUUGGUCAGCCCAAAUGACAUAACAAGGAACUCAUAGUGACCAUACCCAGUCCUGAAGGCAGUCUUCGGGAAAUUCGACUCCCGAAUCUUUAGCUAGUGAUAACUUGAGCGCAAAUCAAUCUUAUAAAACACAUGUAUGCCUUGAAGAUGGCCAAAUUGAUCAUCAAUACGAGGCAAAAGGAUAACAGUUCUUCACUGUAACAUUGUUCAGCUAAUGCUAAUUGAUACACGUGCAUAUAGAACCAUCAUUUUUCUUCACAAACAAGAACACCCCAUGAUGAAACGCUUGGUCGAAUAAAACCCUUAUCAAGCAAUUCCUGUAACUGAUCCUUCAACUUCUUCAACUCAGGAAGAGCCAUACGGUACGGAGGAAUGGAAAUGGGAUGAGUGCCCGGCAACAAGUCAAUGCAAAAAUUAAUGUCUCUAUGAGGUGGCACACCCAGAAGAUCACCUUGAAACACAUCAAGAUAAUCCCGUACCACUGAGACAUAAUCAACAGAAGAGGUAUCAAUACAAACAUCUCCCACAUAAGCUAAAUACGCGGCGCACCCCUUCACAACCAUACAUUGAGCUUUAAGAAAGAAAUAACUCUACUGGGAGUAUGAUCUAAAGUAACACUCCACUCUAUACACGGAAUACCUGGCAUAGCCAGCGUCACAAUCUUGGCGUGACAAUCAAGAAUAGCUUGAUGGGGCAACAACCAGUCCAUUCCCAAAAUAAUAUCAAAGUCAACCAUACCGAAUAAUAAUAAAUCCGCUCUGGUCUUAACACCGCGAAUAGUAACCAAGCACGACCGAUAAAUGUUGUCUACAACAAGAGAAUCCCCAAAGGAGUAGAAACAUAAAUAUGAGAACUUAUGUAAUCUCGGGCUACACCCAAAUGCGGGGCAAAGUAAGAAGACACAUAAGAGUAAGUAGAGCCUUGAUCGAAUAGACCUGAUGCCUCUUUUUGACUAACUAGUGAAAUACCUGUAAUGCCAAAAUUGGAGGCAACAACCUCGGUGCGAGCAUGAAUAGCAUAAUAUCUGGCCUGACCUCUCUCUCAAGAAUGACCUCUACCUUCCUGACCUCCACCCCUAGCUGGGUGGGUAGAUGGGGUAGCAGCAGAAGCUGUAAUCAUGUCAUGAGAACUCUAUGGAGCACGCUGUAGCUAAGCAGUCUGUAAACAUGCGUCCCUACAAAGUCUAGGGCAGUCCCGAACCAUAUGGCGUGUAUCACCACACUUGAAGCAAGCUCUAGGAGGACGUGGUGGCUGUGACUGGCUGGGGCCAGAUCUGCUAGACUGAUCUCUGAAAGCACACCGUGCAGGAAGCACGCUAGAAACUUGAGGUGCAUAGUAAGGCUCCUAAGGUCUAGGAGGAGCUCGAGCACUGCUGGCCGCUGGAAGAGCUUAAUGAACGGGUAGACCCAUAUAAACCCUAUCAUGUCGACCUGCUAUUGGGGUGUGGGCACUGAGUAGUGGCCGACUCUCGAGACCUCUAGGCCUCUCUCUCCUCUCGCUCCCUAGCGAGCAUACCCUCGAUCCUCCUAGCAAUGCUCACUACAUGCUGAUAAGGAAUUUGCAUCUAUAACUCUCGAGCAGUGAUUGAUCUGAUGGGUGGAAUAAGGCCCUCAAUGAACCGACGAACCCUCUCACGGACAAUGGCAACUAAGGCUGGUGCAUGCCUAGCCAAUCUGGUGUAACCGAUGGAAUUCUCUUAAACUGUAAUAGCACCCUGGUGCAAAUACUCAAAAUCUAUGCGCUAUGCAUCCUAAGGCUCUAGGGAACAAACUCUCUCAGAAACAUAUCUGAAAACUGGGUCCAACUCAAUAAAGCAGCCUCGCCCAGACUAUCUAUCUCAUAAGUGCACCACCAAUCAUAGGCGGCUCCCUGAAGUUGAAAGGCAAUAAAGGAAACCCCGCUGGACUCUACUAUACCAAUAGUGCAAAGAAUACGGUGGGAGUCCCUUAGAAAUUCUAAGGCAUCCUCCGAUGCUAAACUGCUGAACACAUGAGGCGUAUAUUUAUUAGACCUUCCAAGCCUCAGAUGCUCAACCUCUAAUGUAGCUGACCCAUCCUCGGGCAGAAGUGGCACUGCAGGCGGUACAAGAAUGAUCUCUAGGACAUGCUCCAUAUGCACUCUCUGUGUAGGAGUGCGGGUUGCGUGAUUCUGGGCCCCUCCCCCGCCCUGGGAGGUUGUUGCAGCGAGGCAAAGCAACCCCGCCUAAGCCGAGGUGGUGUACAUAGACUUGAACAUAGCUAAUGUCUCCUGAAGGACUGGAGUAGUAUUUGUAGCUGUAGGUGUGUCUGGUGCCUGAAGUUCAGCUGGAUCUGUUGGCGAUACCUCAACGAUAGCUCACGCAAGUGCUCUGGCUGCACUAUGUGUGCGUCAAUCACCUAUUCCCCGGCCCCUGCCUAUGACGGCUGCAGUAGGGGCACGGGUGCUUGAUCGUCCCGAGUAGCACGUGUCCUCACCAUCCGUGAGAGAAUAGAAUACAUAAGCUUAUAAUUGAUGUCAAAUAAUAGCAGGACAAGGAAUUAAAUGAAGUGAAGAUUUUUCCUAAACAGUUACACAGACUCCAGUAGAUAAGUACAGACAUCUCAGUACGGACCAGCGAGACUCUAAUAAACCGACAUGUGUCUGUGACUCCUAUGAGCCUAGAGCUCUGACACCAACUUGUCACGACCCUAGUUCACCGUCUGUGAACAUGCCAUAACAGCACCUAGUCACUACGACUAGGUAAGCCUGACAAUGCGAAAACAUAUCAUUUUGCGGAAAUAAAUAAUUAAAACUGGAUAACUUAAGGAAAACUAUAUAUAUGUAUCGCUUGGCAUAUACAACUCAACAUCACAAGACUAAGAAAAAUCCCAAAACCCAAAAACUCACGGGCAACACAGGAUAUAGAAAUGUAUAACAUAGUUCUCUACUCUCCAAAAACGUCUACAUCAAAGAACGAAAGGAAGCUAAACACUACAAGAUAGAAUAAGAGGGAGACUCGGUUGGGUAGUAACGAGGAAGGUCAGGGCCUUACUGAGAUAAAACGUAAUAAUAAGAAUGUACAGUAUAAAAACAUAUAGAAUAAUAGAAAAAACAUCGAAGUAAAUCAGAAUAUACAAGUCAACAACAAAUAAACGAAGUAAGGAAUAAACACAAAAAUGCACAGCUCAAUACCAAAGAUACUAUGAGGAUCUCCCGGGAUACCAUCCUGUUGCGCUUUCUCACUGUCCAGUUAUACCGUCCUGUAGUCCAUCAUAUAUGUAUAACCGAAGGAUCUUCCGGGGUAUUGUCCUGUAGUCCAACUAUCAAUGUGAAUGGGGAUCUAUCGAGAAUCUAGCCUGUAGUCCCAAAGUAAAUGUGCAAGGAGAUCUAUUGAGAAUCGAACCCAUAGUCCCAAAGUAAACAAACAAGGGAGGAGCUACUAGAGUCCCACAUCUGUAGUCCCAAUAUAAAUACACACCAACAGCAAGAGAAUAAUCAGAAAUGGAGAUAAAUACCAAGGCAACAGGAUAUAUAGCCUAAUAUGCUUCACGUAAUGCAGCAAGGCAAAUUAAAGAAACUAAAGGAUGAGAUCCAUCGCAAUAAAGUCCACUUCUCGUCAAACUUCUCAAAAACCUUCAAAUUUCUAUCUUUAGCAAAAUGGCUUUAAAAUGACCUACAGACCUCCGAAUUCACUUUCGGUCGCGCUAUCAACUCCAGAAUAACCAUACAGAGCUACUCCGAGUCUUGGAAUUCCAUACAGACAUCCAUAACACUGAACUACACUUCAAGCCAAACUUAAGAAAUUUCUUCAAAAAUGCUAACUUCCACAAUGGGUGCCUAAACACUUCCGGGUUACCCAAAACCCGCACCGGACAUACACCCAAGUUCAAAAUCAUCAUACAAACCUGCUGGGACCUUCAAAUCCAGAUUCCGAGGUCAUUUACUCAAAACUCCAGUCCUAGUUCAUUAUUUCAACUUAAAGCUUCUGAAAUGGAAAUUUUAAUUUAAAUUUACUCCGAUCUCCCAAAAUUUCAAUUCCCACCAUGAGAACAAGUGAUAACACCUAAAAUGAAGCUGCUCAUGGCUUCAGACUGCUGAACGACAUGCUAGGGGAUAAAAUGACCUACCGGGUCGUUACACUUCAUGAAUAGUUAAGUUGAGAAAUGGCUAUGGUUUGUUGCAUGUUUUAUUUAGCAUCGGCAGUAUAUGAAAGUGUUGGAAUGAGACUUUUGUUGAUAAUAGGAUUUAUAUCGGUAUUCGGUGGUUGUGGCAGCAGUUGUGAAUAGAACUUAUCGCUUUGAGGGUUUGAGUUAGGUGGUAUACCAUGGGAUUUCUCCCAAUGUUGCAGGCACGGGUUAUUACCGCUGAUUCGGGCCUAUUCAGAGCAUACAUGUGAGAUUUAGAUCAUAUUGAUGGCUGUAUAAGUUGAAAUGUGGUUCGAAGGUUUAUGCGCUGGGAUGGAUUGUGAAAUUAAAUUAUGUUAUCAGACCUAUAUGACAUAGGGUGAUGUGGGAUCACCCUGUGUAUGUGCAUGAUAAGGUUAUUCAGCGAUUAGUUGGAUUUUAGAACAAAUCUUGGUACAUUCGAGGACGAACGUAUGUUUAAGUGGGAGAUGAUGUAACGACCCGACCGGUCGAUUAGUGUUUUUACACUUUGAUUUCCAGUUCUCGGGAAGGACUUCCCCCGUUUGGUUUAUUAUGAAUUAUGUAAAUUGAGGGGGUUGGGUUUCAGGUUAAUCAGAAUGAAUUUGGAAGAACAAUCUCAGUUGAAAGUUUUAAAUUUGAAUGGUUUGAUCCUAAUUUGACUUUAUUGUAAAUUAUCUCGGAUUGGAAUUUUUAUGAUUUGGUUAGCUCCAUUAGGUGAUUUGGGACUUAGGUGCGUGAUCGAAAUGCAUUAUGGAGGUCUGUGGAAGGUUUAGGCUUGAAUUGGCGCAAUUGAGAUUUCGACGUUUUCUAGUUGAUAGGUGGGAUUAUGAUCCGGGGAUCGGAAUGAAAUUACGUGAGUUAUUUUAUCUUUGUUUUGUCAUUUGGGAUGUGUGUGCAAAAUUUCAGGUCAUUCGGAUGUGGUUUGGUUGGAUUUUUUAUCAAAAGUGUAUUUCAGAAGUUUUUGAAAAACUUAGGCUCGAAUUCGAUGCGUUUUGCGUAAUUUAAUAUUGUUCGAGGUUUUUUGAUGAUUGUAAAAAGGUUGAAUAAAGUUUUAGGAUGUGUUGAUACUCUUGGUUGUGUUCCCGGGGGCCCCGGGGGCCUCGGGUGAGUUUAGGGUGGUCAUUCGGACCAUUUUUGGAGUUUGAAAGUUGAAGCAAUAGCAGGUUAAGUGUUGCAGAGAAUUAUUUCUUCGGGGUCGCGUGAGUGCCUCGCGUGAAUGAAAGAAGGCCAGAAUUUAGCCUUCGCAUUUGUGUGAGAGGCUUCACAUUCACGAAAGGUUGGGAAGUUGUGUGCCGUGUUCGCGAGAAGGCACUCGCAAUAGCGUAGAGGAAGUGAGACAUAUGAAGUCCAAGUUAAUUUGUGCAUCGCAUUCGCAUUCACGUAAGGUUAUUUCAUCUGGUCAUCGCAUUCACCAGUCAUUGGUAGCGCUUGUGUAGUGUAUUUUUGAGGUCUUGAAUUGCUCUUCGCGAUCAUGAUGCUUGUGCCACUGUCGCACUAAAGGAACGACAGAGCUAGGAAGAUGUUUUAAGUCAUUUCAUCCGCGAUUUUUGGGCUCAUUUCCUCCAUAGUUGAUCAUUUUUGAGAGCUUUUUGAAGGAAAUUAAAGAGGGGUUCAAGGAGAAAUUUUUGGAGGUAAAAUAUUCGGACCUAACUCAAUUCUAUUGUGAAAUCUACCUAGGAAUUCAUAAAAACUUGUUCUAAAAAUGGAAGAACUAGGGCUUGAGAUUUUAUAUCUUUGAUUGGGGAUUUGGAAGACCAUAUGGGGUUGGAUUUGAGAACUUCUGAUAUGCAUGAACUCGUGGGAGGAUAAGGAACCCGUUGAUAUAAAAAUUUAUGUUUUUUGAGCAGUGGGCCCGAGACUCGGGUUUUGGUAAUUUCGAUAAGUGUGCCUGAUAUCGAUUGUUUUCGCUUGGGCUUAGUUCCCAUAGCAUAUUGUGAUGUAUUCGUUCUGAUUUUGGAUAGGGUUCGAUGCGCGUGGAGGAAAAUUUGAGGGGCAAAGGCAUCGCUGUGAGCACGUGAUAUUUGCCCUAAGCAAAUAAUCCCCAAAGAUUCAAACAACACAACUUCUCUAUUAUAUUACAAUUUUUUUGAAUUUUGUGGCAUUAUCUGUUAUUUGUUUGCAUUUGAUUGGUGCAUUUUAAUUCAUUGAAAAAUAAAAAAAUACCUGGCACUUACAUUUAGGGUUUUAUUUCAACUUUUGGAUCUAUUAGUGAUUAGUCAAUAUUACAAAAGAAGAAAAAAACAAAAAUAGCCCACUUUCGUAUUUUAAUUUUUUUAAUUGUGAAUUUGUUACAAAAUAGUUUUAAAAUAAUAUUAGGAGUUAAUUAGUUUAGCUAUGAAUUAUAUUAGGAAGUAUAUUUUAAAUUUUGCACUUUUAUAAAAUCAGAAAAAUACAAAAUGGAAAAAAAACAAAAAGAAUUGAAAGAAAAGCAAUUAAAUAAAUGGUGAGUGUAGAAGGAAUGGAGGAAGGCCAAAAUUUAGCCUUCGCAUUCGUCUGAGAGGCUUCGCAUUCACGGAAGGUUGGGAAGUUGUGCAUCGUGUUCGCGAGAAGGCACUUGCAAUCGCGUUGAGGAAGUGAGUUAGAUGGGGUCCAAGGUAAUUUGUGCAUCGCAUUCGCAUUCACGUAAGGCUAUUUCAUCUGGUCAUCGCAUUCACAGGGCGUUGGUCAUGUUUGGGUAGUGUAUUUUUUAGGUCUUGAAUAUUUUCUCUUCGCGAUCAUGAGGCUUGUGCCACAAUCGCACUAAAGGAACGGGCAGAGCUAGGCAAAACGUUUUAAGUCAUUUCAUCCGCGAUUUUAGGGCUCAUUUCCCCCAUAGUUGAUCAUUUUUAGAGCUUUUUGAAGGAAAUUAAAGAGGGGUUCAAGGAGAAAUGUUUGGAGGUAUGAAAUUCGGACCUAAAACUCAAUUCUAUUGUGAAAUCUACCUAGGAAUUCAUAGAAACUUAAGCUAAAAUGGAAGAACUAGGUCUUGGGAUUUUAAAUCUUUGAUUGGGGAUUUGGAAGACCAUUUGGUUGGAUUUGAGAACUUAUGAUAUGUAUGAACUCGUGGGAGGAUAUGGAAGCCGUUGAUAUAAAAAUUUCUGAGUUUCGAGCAGUGGACCUCGGACUCGGGUUUUGGUAAUUUCGAUAAAUGUGCCUGAUAUUGAUUAUUUUCGCUUGGGCUUUAUUCCCUUCGUAUAUUGUGAUGUAUUCGUUCUUAUUUUGGAAAGGAUUCGAUGCGCGUGGAGGCAAAUUUGUGGAGCAAAGGCAUCGCUGUGGGCUUGUGAUUUUUUCCCUAAGCAAAUAAUUCCCAAAUAUUCAAACUAAACAAUUUCUUUAUUUUUGUGAAUUUUGUGGCAUUUUCUGUUAAUUGUUUGUAUUUGAUUUGUGCUUUUUAAUUCAUAGAAAUAUAAAAAAAUACUUGGCACUUGCAUUAACGGUUUUAUUUCACCUUUUAGAUCUAAUUAGUGAUUAGUCUAUUUUGCAAAAGAAGAAAAUAACAAAAAUAGCCCACUUUCGUAUUUUAAUUGUUUUAAUUGUGAAUUCGUCACAAAAUAGUUUUAAAACAAUAUUAGGAGUUAAUUAGUUUAGCUUUGAAUUAUAGUAGGAAGUAUAUUUCAUUUUUGCACUUUUAUAAAAUUAGACAAAUACAAAAUGAAAAAAAACAAAAAGAAAUAAAAGAAUUAAAAGAAAAACAAUUAAAUAAAUGUGUGAUGACCUAAACCAUAUGCCAUGACCAAACUCACCCGCCAGGCCCAAUCUAAUCUAGAACCAGGUCCAGCUCCCCCUAGAACUAAAACGACCCCAUUUUAGGCUACGAAUAAUCUUAACCAUUGAUAUUUCCGGAUCCAAUGGCCACAAAUGGCUCUUGGUAUUUUGAUUAAAUUGUCUGAAUAUGUGUUUAAACCUAGAGACAGUGUCAUCCUCCUCGUACCACUCUCUGCAUCUCCGCCGGAGCCGCCGCCGGCGCUGAACGCCACCACCUCCAAACAACCCCAAAAUUACACCACCAACUCUCCUUGUUCCCCUCUUUCCAUUCCUGCCAUUGGUUUCCCUUGAAUCUUGCCAGAGCUCGUCGAAUCAUCGUUAAAAGUAUUCUGGCCAAGUCGGAACCUUUUCCUAACCGGCCCAAAUUUGAACCACACAACCCCCAGACCUUCCUCACCCCUAAUCCCUAACGGAAUUUUCUCAAUCAUCAGUUAAAUGGCUCAAAUAUUAAAACUUAGGGUUUUGAUUACGGGACUGUUUUGGGUGAUUUGAAGGUUUAAUCGUCUUCAAGUUGAUAUCAUGUGUUUAUUUCAUACAAAAUAAAUAUAUAACAUUAACUCAAAGCCAAAGUUGAAGGUCAAUAGAGUUUGAAGUAAGUCAAUCUGUUUGUUCUUUUUGUUUUCUUUUUCCCUCUAUGUUCUCAUGAAUGUUUCUUGGUUUAAUUUGUGCUUCUGUGGCUAAUUGAUUUAUUCUAAAUGUUAGUUCAUGGUUUCUAUUUAUUUAGUCUGAUUGUUAAGAGUUGGUUAAUUCUGGGCUUUGUUAGUUUAGUUGGGGAUAAUUUUGAAUAUUUAGUUUAAACUGCUUUCGAUUCAAUUCUGGUAUAUAAUUGUUUAUAAUUUGCUCGUUUCUCAUUAAUAUGAUUUUUGUGCAAGUUUUGAUUGCUUAAUUCUUGUUAUUCAGUCUAAUUGUAUUCAUAGCAGGGAUAUUGUGUUAAGUUCUUUACCGAUAUUUGUUAUUAGCUUAGCUUUAAUUUUAAUUGAUUUUAGUUAAUUCAGUCUUUAGUUCUUGUUCUGUGGCUUUUCACUUUUUAUCGGAUUAGUUUGGCUUAAAUGUCAUUUAGUUUAAUUGAUAGUAGUAGGAGUUAGGUUUAAUUAGGUAUUAAUUGGAUUUAAUACCUCAUGUUUCAAGGUUUUAAAAGUAGUGUUAGUCAUGAAUGAAUAGUCUAGACUGUUAUUAAGUUAAUCCUAGUUAGUAAAAGGGGUUGGGGGCAACUAGUAUAUGAUCAGUAAUUUCAGGAAAUAAUCAAGGGUAGUUUAGGCAUUGAAAAGGGCAGUUUUAUGAAGCAUAAUAAAUUCAAAAUAAAGUUAAAGGUAGUAUAGGUAUUGUAUAUGUAAAAGAACACCCUAGGGUCUUUUGUGCAGAUUUAGGUAAACUUAGGGCAGUAACUUGACAAACAAGUAAAAAAUUGAAGGACUAAUAAGUGAAAUCUGAAAUUAAAAGAGGGAAAAAAUAUGUGAAAGCUUCCAGAACUUUCUGCCAUGUUAUGGAAUAUAAAAGGCAGCCCUAGUACUUUCAUUUACAGGGGGAGGAGACUCCCUGAAAAAAGUCCAAAAAUUUCAGCCAUAAAAACUCCCUCCAAAUAGCUCUUUCUUUUCUAAUUUUCAUAUCCAAGUUUAUAAAUUCAAAUAUUCAAAAUAAAAAAACUUAAAAAAUAGAAAAAAUCAAAAAAAAAUGUCCUACUGUUUCGUUGCUUAGUUAGAUUAUUUUCGAGUUUUUCCUUGAUUUUCUUCAAAUUCUGUUCAUAGUUCGAGUUUCAACAGCAUUCAAGAGAAUCUGGUAUUCUGCUCGAGUGAGUUUGGGUUAGUUUAAUUUUGUUGUAGUUGGAUACAAUUCCCAGGGAUUCUCAGUAGUUAUUUAAGUGCAAUUUUGAAGUUACUUGAGUGCAUCCCAAGUGGUCAUUGGAUUGAUUUGUUGGAUUCUAUCUCGCUGUUGAACAUUGCUAGUUUUCUAAAUCAUUUCUUGGGUUGCUCGUUGACUCUCUAUUGCUGGAAUUUCUAGUUGCUGGUCUUUAUCCAUUUUUUUUUCUAGGCUAUUCAUCUUAUCUCUUGGUCUGUUGAUAGCUAUCUACUGCUGCUGAUUUACCUCUCCUUUAUCUCAAUUUCAAAACUCAAGUACACAUCCUGAAUUUGAGCUUGAUGUAACUUCAAAGUUGAAAAUGCAAUAGAACACUUGUUCAGUUGCUCUUGGAAGUUAUCUUCGUUGGCUUGUGUUGUAUUAUUUGUUUCACUGUGAGAUAAGUGAUUACUUAAUGUAGUUCAACGUUUUAACGCAGCUCAAUUCAAAUUUGCAUGUUUCUAGACCAGACUGUAGAAUCAAAAUUAUUUUGGAUUGUAAAGAGACUGUCUAGUUACUGAACUUUAGUUAGUGAAUAGCCUCAAUAAUAUCAUUCUGUAAUUGGUUUAACAAAAGAUUAAGCGAUAGAAUUAAUUGUUUCCAGAUUUGCAUGUUGUAAUUAAAGCAUUUGAGUGGUGGACUGAUUCCCAUUUGUUUGCAGUUAGUCCUGAAAUGACUUGAGCCAUAACUGGAAAUCUGUGACUAAUAUAGUUGUUUAGUAUAGCCUCUUUAGUGUAACUCAAUUAGACUUUUCUACCCUUAUAAUGGAUGGUUUAUCAAUAGUUUUGUAAUUAAGCUUUAACAACAGUCUUAGAUUCGAAAAGUAGUCAUCUGUUCUAUAUUUUUACAAGUUAAAAAUAGAUAUCCAUGCAUGAAUACAUGGUAAUCGUAUGAAGCUAAGAACAAAUCAACUAUGAGGCCCUUGGUGAUAAUAUUCUCCGCCUGGGCCCAAUGCCCUUCUGUACAAGGUCCAUAUCUGGAUAAUAUACGUGGGCAAGGAAAAAUUGGUUGAGGGCCAGCUUUAUGGCACAAGAUAUGGGGCAUUUCAUUUAGGUUGUCUUAUUUGAGUCUAGUCCUUAUUGGAGUAUCAUAGUAAUGUACAUUGACUCGUUAAUUGAUUAGGCCCAUUAGAGAAAAAAAUAAUUAGCAAAUCCUAGUUACUUUAGAUAUGCCUUUCAAACUGAUGAGACGAGCCUCGCCAAACAAAAAUACUAAAUUGCGGGGCCCUCAAAUAAGUGAUAUAUUCGAUUAUUUGAUUUCGGGAUGGGCCAUUUAACAAAUUUCACGACCUUCCCCAAAAUAAUGAGGCGUUAGACUCUUUAGGCACGAUUUUAAUAAAUUCACCUUCCUAAAUUCGGGUGCGCAUUUAUGCGACCCAAAUCUAAAUCUCAACGAUGUUGAAAUGUGUUGACAACUACGGGUGCAUUGAUUGCGAGGUGGUUUGAGACAUAUUUUCACGGCGUUGCAAUUCUUUUAAAAUAAUAAUAAAAGCGAUUCACGAAUAAAUGACACAUAAGCUAACAUGUAUUCAAAUCAGACAAAAUCAAAUACAUUAGUUACGCGACCGUGCUAGAACCACGAAACCCGAGAAUGCCUAACACCUUCUCCCGGGUUAACUGAAUUCCUUAUCCGAAUUUCUGGUUCGCGGAUUGUAAUAUAGUCAUAUUUUUCCUAAGUUUGGAAUUCAACCGGUGACUUGGAACGCCAUCAAUCUCCCAAGUGGUGACUUUGAAUAUUAAUAAUAUAUCCCAUUCCGAUUGUCCUUUAUUAUCGAAAACCUCUUUCUGCCCGUACGGGUGUAGUGAAAAAGGAGGUGUGACAGCAUUGGCGAUUCUGAUGGGGACAAAAACCCAGAACGUUUUGCUCAGGGUUCAGAAUUUGAGCUUAGAUAAAUUGUUAUAUUUGGUUAUAUCUGAUUUUCCUACAUAUUUCAUGCUUAAUGUGCUGAAUGUUACCCCUUUGAUAUUAUCUGAACUGUAUAUAAACUGUGCCGAAACCCUUCUUUUCUUACCUCUGGGGAUGUGCUUACUGGUUAAGACUCCCUAUUCUGUUAGUGUAAUACCUUGAAAUAAAAAGAGGCUCGGACAAGUUAAAAGCCGGACGAUCUCGUGGAUCCCCGAUACGUUGCCCCUUCCUCGACUCGAGUUGUUCGCUCGGGUAAACUGUAUAGAAAACAUACCCAGCUUUUUUAACGUAGAAUAACGUGACUUGAUGCCAGAUCCCUAGUAGGAAUGCUCAUUUGCAUCAUGCUGCAUUUAACUUAAAAGACCAUCAUGAAGCAUCCUACUUGUUUUGUGCAUUUAUUUGUUUCAAACCUGCGUGUCGACCGGUUUCUUAAUCUCGUGAAUGUUGGAAAAUUGAGAAAAAGAGAAAAAUAGAGAAAUAACAGUUAGGGAGUUAAUUGAUUAUUUUAGAAAAAUAAGUGGCCAAGUACUGUCGAGAAAGUAUUUUAAUUGCUAAAUUGUUGAUUUUAGUCAAAAAAGCAAAAAUGUAUGAAAAAGGUUUUCUUUUUUAUUUUGUUUUGUUUUCAAAAAUGGUAAAGGGAAAAAAUAGUUUGUUUCGUUGAAAAUGAAAAAAAGAGUCUUAAUUUUUUCUUUUCUUGCUUUCAAAAAUUAGAGAGAGAAAAAGGAAAAAGAAUUUUGUCUUUAAAAUUAGUUAAUUUCAUUGCCCGAACUACGCAUGUUUGAUUAUCAUAGGGCAUGAAAUACGUAGGCAACCCUCACCGGGUCCUACUUCCCCUUUGCAAAAUUAGACAAAAAUAUCUAAAUUAUAAUUUUUGUUAUAAAUAAGUCGGGUGAUGGCGUUAUUGUCAAAAAUAGUCGAAUGUUCACAAAAGGUAUACUGGAAGGCUAACUUUGCAUAAACAGUCACAUUUGGUCAAGUUUUGAGUUUUGACCCUCACGACCUUAAAACCUUCGUCCCCGAGGCACUGAAAAGCCGUGUUUUGCAAUACCGGGUAAUUUAUUUUAAUUUAUAAAUUAAGGAAAGAGUCUUAAAUAAGUCAGGUAUUGCCGUCAUGACAAAAAUAUCUGAAUGUUCCCAAAAGCGACUCUGAAAGGCUGACUUUGCAAAAAUGGCCACUUUUGGUCAAUUUUGAUUUUCAACUUGUUGACUCUCAUAGCCUUAAAAUCUUCAUCUCUGGAAGUGCUGAAAGGCCGUGUUCGAAAACUGAGUCUUUCAUUUUAAAUUUUGAAAAGGGAAAUAGUUAAUUUUGUUUUGAGUCAAAUGAAAGUUUUAUUUUUGCUUAAAUCAGCUUAAUUAAUGUGCAGGAUGAGAACGAUGCAAAAUGAACAUUUCUCAAUAAUGACUAAAAUCAGUUAGGAGUUGCAGCUAUGGUGGAAUGAUUUAGGCAAAGAAGGGCAAGACAAAGUCAAGAAAUAUCAGAAAGGUCUUACAGGUUUAUUGGAAAUCAAGCCUCGAGGUGAUAUUAUAAGAGCGUUGGUCACCUGCUGGGACCCGGCGCACAAUGUCUUCCACUUCCCAGAUUUUGAGCUCACCCCGACUUUGGAGGAAAUAGCCUGGUACAUCGGAAAUGGUGAGUUUCCAUUAAGAGAAAAAUAUCAGGUUGGUCCAUGAGCCAUCACGGUGCAUCAGUUUUUAGAUUCAUUGAAGAUACCCAGGACAGUCCAUAAUCCAGAUUUAGCAAAAGGCUACUGCACUCUGCACUUCAUAUACGAUAGAUACGACCACGUGAGAGGGUUUAACAAGCCGGACAACAAGUUAUGCAGUAAAAAUAACCGUCAAAAAUGGGAUGAGCACAUAUGGAUGGAUUUUAUGAUAACCUUUUUGGGCCUUUUGGAGUUCCCGAUGAAUGAUGAGAAUAUUGAUAUAAAAGCAGCUGUGGUCGUCAGUACAUUGCUUACUCAAGAUGAAAGCACUCUUGCGCCAAUGAUCGUGUCUGACAUCUUCCGAACUCUCACUGCCUACAAAGCCGGAGGCAACUUUUUUGAGGGAUGUAACUUUUUGCUACAAAUGUGGACGACCGAGCAUCAAUGCCACCGUUCCCAGCUCUUGAGUUAUGGUACGCCUGACAAAACAUGUAUAGGAGAGUUUUACACAAGGAUUGACGGGGUCAAUUUUCAUGUAGGAGUAACUGUGUGUAUAUCAUACUUCCGAACUCUCAUAGUCAGUCAGAUACAGUGGACGUUGGGAUGGUUGCCUGUUGAAGAAAUCACAUACAUGCCAGCGGCUAGGUCGCAUUUUCUUUUGUUGGGACAUAAGAGCAUCCAGCCUUAUACUCUAUGUCGUGUUCUGAGACAACUCGGGAGAUUCCAAACAGUGUCACAGGAAGAAGAUCUUAGUGCUCAAGUAAUUGACAUUAGCCUUGAAAGACAAUUUCCCGAAGCAAAAGUCUGCCAGAUUUGGAAUGAAUAUCAAUAUCUACAAGCAGAUACUUGCAGGAUCGGGCCAAAGGAGAAAUGUCACCAGAAUACCUUGCAUGGUACAGGAGAGAACUUGAGUUUCAGAGGCCAGCUAAAAGACCCCACAUCUAGGAUUUUGCUGAAUCGUCAUAAGAACAAUGAGGUUGGCUAGCAAAAGAAAAAGGCUAUCAGGUUGAAAUCGGCAAGCUGAAACAACAUAUUGGAUCUUCUUAAAUUUGAGAAUAGUGUGCAAGUUGUUGGUGAUCAGGGACAAAAGAACAGGUUGGCCCAAGAAAAUGAGGCGCAUAGUGCCCAAAUCCAGCAAAUGAGGAUAGCCGCCAAUAACAAACAAAGGAGCUGGUUGGAUGAGCGAUUGAUAAAGGGGCUGAAAAAGGAAAUUAGUGAGCGCCGGAAUAAGCUGAAAAAAUCUAAGGGCACCAUAGCGGAACUUCGGCCACAGUGGGUAAAAAGAAUAGAAGAAUGCACCUGUUACUUGCAACAGCUGAAGAAGGAUUAUGAAAAGACCAUUGCUAGUCUGAAAAGAAAAGUGGUCACCCUUGAGGAUAAAUCAGCUAAGCAAGCUAAAGUUUUUGAGAGCGAAAGUGCACAGUACUAUGAUUUAUUGGCCCAAAUGGAAGUAGAAAUACAGCAGCAGCAGGAUCAGUAUCUUCAGAUUCGCAUGUGUUGGAGGCUUUCAAUCAUCAAAUAAGGCGGUUGCUUAUAGAAAACGGUCAAACAAGAGGCAGGAUUGAGACCAUUGCCCACACCAUCCUUAGGAGGUGUCGGGCAUGUGAAGACAUGACUCGCACUACCUUCUUCUCGGUAGUGAUGAUUUAUGUCAAGCGAACCAUGAAUGAGCCGGAGCAACUUGAAAGGGAUUUGGCACCUAAGCCCACGGCGAGGCUGAACGAUGCCCCGAGGUCACCCACUUUUGAAGCACCAAUGUAUUGAUAGAUCGAGUUUAAAUUUUCCAUUUUAGAGUCUUUUGUUUGUCUGUCUGUUUUCUUUUUGCGUCCAAGUAUGCUAGUAUGUUCAGAGUCUGUAUUUGAGUUUAGUGGGAGUCUGUUAUUUUCCCUUUUCAAAACGAUUAGUUUUUAAUAGAAUGUUGUAGUAAUGAAAAAUUGAAAACUCCCAAAAUAUUAUUCCUUUAUUUUUGCACUUAUUUUUACGAACUACGCCUGGUCUCAUUCGUGUGGGAUUAAGAUACACAGGUAAUCUCCAUAGGAUUCGACCGUAACCAAAUGAAAAAGAAAAAAAAAAGAAACAAAGAAGAAAAACAAGAGAGGAUGGGAAAAAAAGAGAAAAAGAAAGGAGCGGCAAAUCAAGAAAAGAAAAUAAAGAAAGAACAGAGAAAGAAAAAAGCGGAAAAACAUUAAAAGGAUAGAAUGAGAAAAGGAAAAGAAGAAAGAAAGAAAGAAAAGAAAAGAAAGGAGGGGAGAAAGUUUGUAGUUGGAAAUGCGAAAGGACCGGGAUGACGCAGGCGGUCGAGCAAAGGCAUAUUAGAAAUUGUUAACUGUAUAGGUGCAUUCAUGCCAAUGUGCAGUUAUCCAAUCUAUUAAAACCUUAUCGCUAACAAAGUGGUUGUCUAAUAUGAUGAGUUCAGGCAGGCGGUUAAUUGUUUGGAAUUCUGGCAACCCAUUACUACAACACCUGAUAAAAACACAUGCUGAAAAUGACUGGACAGGAAUCUGAUAUCAGUAUUGUGGACCCGUCAAAAGAGGUUGAGGUGACAGAUGUGACUGCUAUGAAAGAGGAGAUGCGUAAAAUGAAACAAAAAAUGGUUGAAAUGCAUCAAGCCUGGUCUUAGGGGAAUCCAGUACUAGUGUAUCCCGCCAAUCCAUCAUAUAUCCCGUCAUAGGUUCAAGUUUAGGAGCCUCCCACUGCCAAUUCAUCUCCAGCCUUCCCUUACUAUACACAGGGUUAUGGUACUACUUCCUACGCUCCUCAACCUCCACAACCUAAACAAAACCCUCCUCCACCCAUCACUCAUGCCUUUGUAGCACCUCUAUCUACCACACUGCAAAGAUCAUCCAAUGAGCCUUUGUUUCAAACCCACGAUGACCAAUACUAUCCCCUGAACCUACUUUCGAUGCCCCUGAGCCGUACUCUUACACCCCUCACUUUCAGCUCCCCGCACAGACUGAAAAGCCAUCUAAGAACCUAGAACAGGAAGAAGUGCUUCGAAAAAAGAAAAUCCUGGAUAUGCAUGGAUUGGGCAAUCAGGUCAGUGUGGCGUAUAAAGAUAUUUGUCUGUUCCCCGAUGUUCAGCUACCUGUGGGAUUCCAAAUGUAUGAUGGUCACGGUGACCUAGUGGCACAUUUGUGAGGUUUCUGUACUAAGAUGAGAGGGGACGGGGGAAAAGACGAACGACUGAUGCAUAAUUUGGGUAGAGUUUAAGUGGGUCUGCACUAGAAUGUUAUACGCGCCAAGAUCCUAGCAGAUGGUAUACUUGGGAUUACCUAGCACAAGCAUUUGCCAGUUACUUCCAAUAAAAUCUUGAGAUCAUCCCAGACUGGCUGUCAUUCAUAAAACUCGAGAAGAAACCCGAGAAAUGCUUCAGGGAAUACGGUUCUGUUGGAGAGAGAAAGGUGUAAGGGUUGACCCCCCAAUGAGGGAAAGUGAAAUUGUUGAUCACUUUUUGCAGGCUUUGGAGCCAACAUAUUUUGGUCACAUGGUGACGUAAAUCGGUAAAUAUUUAAACGCGAUGGUGAAGUUGGGAGCCAUGGUCGAGGAAGGUUUGAAUUCCAUUAAAAUCAUGAGCUAUUCAGCGAUUAAAGCAACCACUCAGACCAUCCAAAGCGGAACUGGUUGUGUGCUUGGAAAGAAGAAGAAGGAAAAAGUCGCAACAGUUGAAGCUAGUACUUGUUCCAGGUCUAGCAACCCUCCACCCUACUACAACCAACCGAGAUACCACCACCCAAAUUACCCAUACACCCCAUAUGGACCUCCAAAUAAUUACUAUCCACCCCAGAGCCACAUUUUUCUGACCAUCACGCCAAGACACAUACCCAGCCUCUGGCGCACCCGCAGUGGCAUGCACUGGUUCCCCAAAACGCAUAUCCACCUCCACAAAACACAUAUCUACCCCCAGGGCUUAUAGAGCAGGAGCUGGCUUUUGCCCAAACCAGGGUUUUGGAAAUGAGAAGGUCUAGAAAUAGAAAACAUUUACUCUGCUGAGAGAAUCUAACACCACUCUUUUCCGUGGCUUGAAACAGCUAGGAAUGUUGACCCCAAUUGAGCCAAAAAUGACAAACCCCCCUCCUAGAAACCUUGACCAUUCAAUCAGCUAUGAGUUUUGUUCACUUAUGCCAGGGCACGAUACUGAGAAAUGCUGGAAGUUGAAAACUGAGGUGGAGGAGCUUAUUAAUAAUCACCAUAUUGAAGUUUACUCCCCGAAGACGCCAAACAUUAAUCAAAACCCACGGUCAAUGCAUCACGAGACCAACAUGAUCGAAUUACUGCACAAGGGAGGGGAGCUGAAGAAACCCUCACAAACGAUCAUGAUGAUCCGUUCUAGUAAAGCCAAGGUAAACGAAAAGGCAACUAAUGUGAAACCAGCAGUUCAGUCAAAAAGGAAGGGAUGACAAGCCAGUUGUGCUAGUUCGGAAAUGGCCAUCUAUUGUGGCAAAGAAACAAGAGCCAGUCAAGUUAGUGGUACAACAGGUAUCAAGUGUGCCCGUGGUAGUAAUGAAGGGGGCCUACAUAGAACCAAUUGUCGCGAAGCCGGUAGUACAGUUACCCGUGAUUGAUAGCAAAGUCGUGCCAUGGAAGUAUGAACAAGUAGUUUUGACAUACAAAGGAAAGGAAAUCGAAGAAGAUGUUUGUGAAGCACAAGUGUUAACUCGCUCGGGUAGAUGUUUUGCCUCGAAGAGUUGCGAAAAGACAUGGUUGCUAAAGACAGUCCAGUACUAGUCAAGAAGGCUAUGACAGAGGAAGAGACGGAGGAGUUCUUGAAAAAGAUGAAAGUACAAGGCUACUCCAUUGUUGAGCAAUUGACGAAAACGACAUCCCAAACCUCGUUGCUUUCACUACUUAUACAUUCAGAUGAACCACGCCGGGCUUUGAUGAAGAUAUUAAAUAAAGCUCAUGUCCCCGAUAAAAUUUCAGUGAAUCAUUUUGAGAAAAUUGCGAACAAAAUCUUUGAAGUGAACAGGGUGACAUUUUCUGAAGAUGAAUUGCCCGUGGAGAGCACAAAACAUAAUAGAGCUCUAUACUCGAUAAUAAGGUGCAAAGAGUCGUUAGUCACUCGGAUGUUUAUUAAUAAUGGAUUCAGUGCCCUUUGUCCACAUUGAACAAGCUAAAGAUUGAUGAUGAAAGAGUUCAUAAGAAUAGUGUCUGUAUUCGAGGGUUUGACGGUGGUGGUACGGACACAGUAGGGGAUGUCAUACUUGAAUUGACAAUUGGUACGGGCGAGUUCACCAUGGAAUUUCAAGUAGUAGAUACGGCAGUGUCCUAUAACCUGCUGUUGGGGCGACCAUGGAUCCACGCUACCAAAGCGGUGCCUUCAACACUGCAUCAAAUAGUCAAGUUCGAGUGGGAUAGACAAGAGGUCGUGGUACAUGGGGAAGACAACACAUGCGCUGUAAGUGAUGCCAUCAUGCCCUUCAUAGAGAUUUAUGAUGGUAAGGGGUCAUGGGUUUAUCAAGCCUUCGAUACAGUCCCGGCAGACAAGGUGCCGGAGGGUAAAAGUAUCACACUCCCCAGAAUAGCAGAUGCAACAGUCAUAGUAGUUUCGGAGAUUCUGAGUAAUGGGUUCUUGCCAGGAAAACGUUUGGGGACUAAUCUCCAGGGUAUUGUUCAACCUAUUUCUUUGCCAAAGAAUCUUUACACCUUUGGGCUAGGGUUCAAGCCAACGGCGGUGGGUGUGAGACAGGCCUGCAAGAAGAAUAAAAGUGUAUGAGUUCUUCACAAACCAAUUCCACACUUGUCUAGGUCCUUCGUCAGGCCAAGUAUCGGGAAGCAACUACUGGAAAAGGUAUCUGGUCCAUUAAUUGGUGCAUAUGGGAACUUGGAAACGAGGUUUGAGAAGAUAUUUGCUGAAGUAAACAUGAUUGAGGCCGGGGAAGGGUCGAGCAAAGCAGAUAUACAGCACAUCGGACCACGUGCUAAUGUCAGCAAUUGGGAAACUACUCCUCUUCCAACUCAGAGGGAGUCGUGGUAGUGGGUUUUAUUUUCCUUUUGUUCACCUGGAUUAUUCCAGGGUAUGUAAUUCAGUUGCUAUGUUCUGUCCGUUUGGAUGAGUUAAAACCCUGUUAUCUUUACAUUCAAUGAAAUGCAAUUUUUCUUCUUUCUUCAUUCCUAAUUUUUUUUCUUUUUUUUCUUUUAUGUACACUUCUUUUUAUGUUGAUAUCAAUGACAUGACAUGCAUGAGGAAUCUUCGGCCCACUUUUAAAUGCCAAUCUAACUAAGAAAUAAUAUUACAAGAAAUCGAGUGUGAUGAUGAGGUGGAAUGUGAUGAUGACGAGGCCUAUGAGGAAAUUAGUAAAGAAUUAAGUCAUUUUGAAGAAAAACCCAAACCUAACCUAAAUGACACAAAAGCAGUUAAUCUAGGGGACCAAGGCAACGUUCGUGAAACUAAAAUAAGUGUUCAUCUGGAGCCACAACUCAAGGAGGAGAUAAUCAAAGCAUUGUUCAAGUACAAGGAUAUUUAUGCAUUGAAGAAAAACCCAAACCUUACCUAAAUGACACAGUAGCAGUUAAUCUAGGGGACCAAGACAAUGUUUGUGAAACUACAAUAAGUAUUCAUCUGAAGCCACAACUCAAGGAGGAGAUAAUCAAAGCGUUGUUCGAGAACAAGGAUAUUUUUACAUAGUCGUAUGAUGAUAUGCCGGGUCAAAGUACCGAUUUAAUGGUUCAUAAAUUUCCCACUGAUCUGGCAUUCCCUCCUGUCAAGUAGAAGCUGAGAAAGUUCAAAACGGACAUAAGUGUAAAGAUCAAAGAAGAGGUUACCAAGUACUUUAAGGCAAAGGUCAUUCGGGUUACACGGUAUCCCACCUGGUUAGCUAAUGUUGUGCUUGUGCUGAAGAAUGAUGGCAAGACCAGGGUGUGUGUUGAUUAUCGGGAUCUUAACAAGGCAAGUCCAAAAGAUAAUUUUCCACUGUCGCACAUCCAUAUAUUGAUUGAUAAUUGUGCCAAACAUGAGAUUGGAUCUUUUGUGGAUUGUAACGUGGGUUAUCAUCAGAUUUUAAUGGACGAGGAAGAUGGAGAAAAUACGGCAUUCGUCACGCCAUAGGGAACGUACUAUUAUUGGGUCAUGCCGUUUGGUUUGAAAAAUGCUGGGGAAACUUAUAUGAGGGCAAUGGCAACAAUAUUCCAUGAUAUGAUACACAAGAAAAUCGAGGUGUACGUGGAUGAUGUGAUCGUGAUGUCUAGACAACAGUCUGACCACGUGAGGGAUUUGAGGAACUUAUUUCAAAGGCUUCACAGGUACAAUCGUAAGCUCAAUCCUGCAAAAUGUGCUUUCGGGGUGCCAUCUGGGAAGUUGUUGGGAUUUAUAGUUAGCCUUCAGGGUAUUGAACUAGACCCGUCGAAGAUCAAAGCAAUUCAGGAAUUGCUGCUUCCAACAAACAAAACUGAGGUGAUGAGUUUGUUAGGAAGAUUGAAUUAUAUCAGUAGGUUCAUUGCCCAGCUCACAACAACUUAUGAGCCGAUCUUCAAAUUAUUAAAGAAAGAUGUUGAAGUCAAAUGGACGGAUGAAUGUCAGCAAGCUUUUGACAAGCUAAAGGGGUAUUUGUCGAACCCACACGUGUUGGUCCCGCCAGAAUCGGGGAGGCCUUUGGUUCUAUAUCUAACAAUUUUUGAUAAUUCGUUUGGAUGCGUACUGGGGCACCAUGAUGUUACUGGUAGAAGGAGCAGGCGAUCUAUUAUCUCAGCAAGAGGUUCACAUCUAACGAGGUCAAUUAUACUCGUCUGGAGAGGACGUGUUACGCCCAAACCUGGGUGGCACGAAGUUGAAACAUUAUUUGUUGCCCUACACUACUUACCUCACAGCUCGCUUGGAUCCGUUAAUGUAUAUUUUUUAGAAGCCUAUGCUCACAGGAAGGCUUGCAAAGUGGCAGAUCUUGCAUAUAGAGUUCGACAUUAUCUGUGUGACUCAGACUCCGAUGAAAGCACAUGCAUUUGCUGAUCAUUUGGCUUAGAAUCCAGUCGAUGAAGAUUAUGAACCUUUGAAAACUUAUUUCCCAAAUGAAGAGGUGAUGCACAUUGAUGAGAUGGAACAAGUUGAGAAACCAGGAUGGAAGCUCUUCAUUGAUGGGGCUGCAAAUAUGAAAGCCGUGGGAAUAGGAGUGGUACUUAUUUCUGAAACAGGUCAGCACUACCUUGUUGCGGCUCAACUUUGUUUCUAUUGUACAAAAAACAUGACGGAUUAUGAGGUGUGUAUCUUGGGACUGAGAUUAGCUGUAGAUAUGGGUGUCCAGAGUCUUGGUCAUGGGUGACUCGGACCUACUGGUACACCAAAUUCAAGGGGAAUGGGAAACACGGGUUUAAAGCUUAUACAAUACCGGGAAUGUUUGCAUGAGCUUUGUCAACAGUUCCAAUCUAUAGAGUUCAGGCACAUUCCAAGUAUUCAUAAUGAGGUUGCCGAUGCUUUGACUACUUUGGUGUCAAUGUUACAUUAUCCGGAUAAGGAGCAUGUGGACCCGUUGCAUAUUCAGGUCCAUGAUCAGCAUACUUAUCGUAACAUGGUAGAAGAGGAGCUUGACGACGAGCCGUGGUUUCAUGAUAUCAUGGAAUAUAUCAGAAUUGGGGUAUACCUAGUAUAGGCCACCGGUGAUCAGAAAAGAACGAUUCGAUGAUGGUCAAGUGGGUUUUUCCUUAGGGGAGGAGUGUUAUAUAAAAGAACCCCAGAUCUCGGACUGUUGAGGUGUAUGGAUGCGAGAAAGGCCACAUCUACCAUGACUGAGGUACAUUCUGGAGUUUGCGGACCGCAUAUGAGCGGAUAUGUUUUGGAAAAGAAGAUCCAAGGGUAGGUUAGUAUUUGCUUACCAUGGAGUGAGAUUGUAUCAAUUUCAUACGUAAAUGUCAUUAGUGCCAAGUUCAUAGAGAUUUGGUUCAUUCUUCGCCAUCAGAAAUACAUACGAUGUCCACACCAUGGUCUUUUGUUGCAUAGGGCAUGGAUUUUAUUGGGCCAAUUGAACCAACACCGUCAAACAGGCACAGGUUCAUUUUGGUAGCAAUAGACUACAUUACCAAGUGGGUAGAGGCUAAAACGUUCAAAUCUGUAACCAAGAAAGUUGUGGUGGAUUUUGUGCCUUCGAACAUUAUCUGUCGGUUUGGGAUGCCAAAAGUGAUCAUUACAGACAAUGGGGCAAACCUCAAUAGUCAUUUGAUGAAGGAAGCAUGUGAGCAGUUCAAGAUUACCCAUCAUCACUCUACUCCAUACCUCCCUAAGGCUAAUGGUGCUAUUGAAGCAGCUAACAAGAAUAUAACGAAAAUAUUGCGGAAGAUGGUGGAAUGUUCGAGACACUGGCAUGAAAAGUUUCCUUUUGCAUUGUUGGGAUACUGCACCACUGUUCGUACUUCAGUGGGGGUUACUCCAUAUUUAUUGGUGUAUGGCACCGAGGUCGUAAUACCUGUAGAGGUGGAAAUCUCGUCUCUUCGAAUCAUUGCGGAGGCUGAGAUCGAUGAUGAUGAAUGGGUGAAAAGCACCCUUUAACAGUUGAGUUUUAUUGACGAGAAAAGAUUGGCAUCAGUGUGUCAUGGUCAGUUGUACCAGCAAAGAAUGGUAAGAGCGUACAACAAGAAAGUGCGUCCGAGGAAGAUUGAAGUCGGACAGUUAGUACAGAGACAUAUUUUGCCUCAUUGGGCUGAAGCAAAAGGAAGUUCGUUCCAAAUUGGCAGGGACCAUUUGUCGUAACACGAGUGUUGUCUAAUGGUGCAUUAUAUCUGACAGACGUAGAAGGGAUCAAUUCCGAUACGGUCAAGAGAUACUAUGUAUGAUUUCUUUAUUUCUGAAUGUACUUGUUUGUACUUGGCAUAUUUUAAAGAUUAAAAUGACGAAGGUGUUUUGUUCUGCUAUCCAAAUACUUUUAUCCCUUGUCAUCUCCUUUGAGCCUUACUUAUUUUCUUUCAUACCCCGCUUUCGUAAUCAAUGGCACAAUUAAGAAACGAAAGUGCCGCAGCUAAGCAAAUGGAAAAGAAGAAAAGAAAACGAAAAGAAAAAAAGAAAAGGAAAAUAAAGGUAAAGGAAAGAAAAGAAAAAUGAAAAGAUAGAAAAGAAAAAAAGAAAGCAAAAUAAAAGAAGAAUCACAACAAAAGUAAUUCUAUGACGUGAACUACGUUUAAUUUGAUCCCGAAAGGGUACGUAGGCAGCCUCUUUGAGGUUCAGUCAUACCAAAAUAAAAAUUCAAAAAUCCCCAAGCAAGAAACUGGGGUAGCACUUGUGGUUGUUGUAAGGAAGUGGAUUCAGUAAGUUGUAAUUUAAACCCAUUUGAAUUAUUUCUGAGCCUUUUAUACCCUUCUUUCCUAACUCAUCCAAAGCCUACAUUACAGUCCAAAAAAAGACUUUCUGAUCAGUUUUUGAGAAAUGCCAAGUUGAGCAAGUAGAAGUAAUUCAUGACAGGGGCAACACUCUGGUUCAAGCAAGAAGAACAAAGUAAAAAAUGAGAGAGUCUUAUUGGUGAAAACCUUCACAAGCACCAUAAGGCGACGGGAGAUCAGAGAAAAUAAAAUGAGAGAGUCUUAUUGGUGAAAACCCUCACGGGCACCUUGAGGCAAAAGUGAGUUGAGAAAUGGCUAAUUGAGAAAUGUCUAUUGGUGGAAAACUAUUUCGAGGCACCGCAGGAUGAGCAAGGGUAAGGUUUUGCAAAGUAAUCAAGUGAUGGAAAUUCAGGGGCAACAAAGUACGGCAAUUGAAAACUGGUUAGUUGGACAGAUUGGGCCGAUUAGUUCGAAAUGCAUGUCAUGACCAUUGGUGACAACUGUUCCGGCCAAAUAAGUUUUUUUUUAAUUUUUCCUUUUAGCAGUCAUUUGGUUUUGGAUUAUUCUUAUCCUUAACUUCCAAAAUCAUUGCAUUUCAUUUUCUUUUGGGGGUUUUAUUUGUCUAAGAUGUUUCAAUGUCAAUUUUGUUCAAUGCAAGGGGAAAGUAUUUCUAAGCUCACUGCCAACUUCCUAAUAUGGUAAAGCAUAAUGUGGUCAGAGCAUGUCAACAACAACACGAUGAAAAGUGGAGUAUGGGAAGUCGCCGGAAGUUUCAUCAGUGGAAUAAUUUGGAAAUAUUGUGGGAAAUGUAAAGUUUCAGACAAAAAGGGUCAGAAAAGUGAAACAACAGCAUGGGUACAAAACAUUCAGGUUGUCAAAGGUUGGGGAAUUGGAAAGUCAGUCAGAAAGUCAAGAGGUUCAGGGUCAGUUCGAGGAAGCCAGUCAACAUAAACCAAGGCAGUGGAAGGAUUUUUCAGCAAGAAUGCCAUCAAUUAACCACCAUUUCAAAUUAACAAAAUUUUCUUUGAUUGAAACAGGGGCAGAAAAUUAAUUAUUUAGGAUGAAUUCUCCAUAAGGGAAAGGCAAGCAGUAAUAAGGUGGACCGCAAGUGCGGUAUGGUUAAAAUACAAGAUAAUGAGGAAUAACAUAGGGAAAUGUAAGUUAGUUUCAAAGUUUGCAUGUCUAGGACAAAAUUCAAGUUUUGAAAUUGGGAGCCUGCCCAUAUAACAGAGGAAUACAUUUCAAUCUUUAAAUUUUAAAUUUACAUUUCAGUAUUUAAAUUUUCAAGUUUUGAAGUUGGGAGCCCGCCCAUAUAACAGAGGAAUACAUUCCAGUCAGAUAAAAUUCAAGUUUUGAAGUUGGGAGCCCGCCCAUAUAACAGAGGAAUACAUUUUAGUCUUUAAUUUUGAAGUUAUAUUUCCGCCUUUAAAUUUUCAAGUUUUGAAGUUGCGAGCCCGCCCAUGUAACAGAGGAAUACAUUUCAAUCUUUAGAUUUUAAGUUUUGAAGUUGGGAGGCCGCCCAGAUAACCAAAGAAUAUCAUUUCGGUCUUUAAAUUUGAAAUUUUGAAACAUUUCAGUCUUUAAGUCUUAAGUUAUAAAGUUGGGAGCCUACCCAUAUAACAGACGAAUACAUUUCAGCCGUUAAGUUUUGAAGUUACAAUUCAGUCCUUAAAUUUUCAAGUUUUGAAGUUGGGAGCUCGCUCAUAUAACAGAGGAAUACAUUUCAGUCUUUAAAUUUUCAGUUUUGAAGUUACAUUUCAGUCUUCAUAUUUUAAGUUUAGAAGUUGGGAGCCCGCCCAUAUAACAGAGGAAUAUGUUUCAGUUUUUAAAUUUUGAGUUCUGAAGUUAUAUUUCAGUCUUACAUUUAUGUUUUGAAGUAGGGAGCCCGCCCAUAUAACAGGGGAAUACAUUCAAGUUCAAGUUCAGAGGUCAGGUAUCAGAAUUCAAGUUUUAGUUUUCAAUUCUUAUUAUGUAUGGUAACAAGCACCCAUUUUUCAAAACUGGGCAGAAAGUUUUCUUUGCUGUGUCUAUUUUGUGAAGUCAGGAGCCCGCCUGGAGAACAGAGGAAUGUAGUUCAAGUUGUGAAGGCGGGAGCCCGCCCACAUAGCAGAGGAAUACAUUGAAGUUCAAGUUUAUUCAAGUUCAGCAAUUUGAAGAGAAGAAAUAAAAUCUCAAUUAGCAAUUUGAAGUAACAACAAUGGAUUUCACCAGGGAACGUAAGACAACAAUGAAAUACAAGAACAAGUUUGAAGAAUUUAGAUAGGACCUUUGUAAUUCAUAGUUCAUAGCUUAGUCUAUCUUCUUUUAUUUUUGACACGGUGUAAUAAGAGAGGUCAGCAAGCAGUAGCAGUAGCAAUCGCAGUGAAAACAUAGCUCCUGGUAGUUCUAGGUACCAGACACUCCCGAGCUACACUGACUUGAUUCCUCUUUAGCCCAGGAUAUGUAGGCAACCUCUGAAGUAAGGUUCGGUCGUCUCUUUCAAAAAAUGCUUCACACGAAAUAUGCGAACGAGCAAAAAUUUCUCGUUUCCGCUCACUUAUCUUCGCACGAAACUCUUUGCGUUUCCGGGUGUCAAACCUCCUUUUUACCCGUUCCCGCGGGUGCGAAAGGGGGUUUUGGAAUUUAUCCAAUUAAAGGACAAUUGAAACGGGAUUUAUUAUUAAGAUUUAGAGUUGCCACUUGAGAGAUUUAUGGUGUCCCAAGUCACCGGUUGAAUCCCGAAUCGAGGAAGAAUAUUGACUCUGUAUUACAGUCCGCGAAUCAGAAAUCCGGAUAAGGAAUUCAGUUAACCCGGGAGAAGGUGUUAUGUAUUCCCGAGUUCCAUGGUUCUAGCACGGUCGCGCAACUGUUAUAUUUGGCUUAUUUUUCUGAUUUGUAAAACAUGAUGUACAUUUAUUUAAACAAAAUUUAAAGUCAAAAGCGAAAGUUAAAGCUAAAAUUUAAAGGAAAAGGAAAAGCAAAAGUUAAAGCAAAAGUUAACACAAAACACAAAAGUUAAAGCUAAAGUUAAAGCAAAAGUUAAAAUUAAAGUAAAUGUUAAAGCAAAAAUGGUGAGUUCCGUGGUUCUAGCACGGUCGCUCAACUGUUGUAUUCGGAUUAAAUUAUCUGAUUUUAACACCUAUGAAAUUAUACGCAUUUAACUUUUUUACCGUUUUUAUUAUUAUUAUUAUUGUUAUUUUAAAAGAAUUGCAACGUCGUGGAAAUGCAUUUCGAACCACGUUACAAUCAUUGUGCCCGUGAUUAUCAACACAUUUCGUCUUCGUUGAGAUUUGGAUUUGGGUCACAUAAAUAUGCACCCGAGUUUAGAGAGAUAACAUUAUUAAAUACACACCUAAAGAUUCUAACGUGUUAUUAUUUUGAGAAUGCCUUGAAACUCGCUAAACGACAUGGCCCGCAGUCUAGAUAUUUUUAAUAUAUACAUUUUUGAGCGCCCCGCAACUUGUUUAUUUUAUUCUGCGAGGCUCGUCUCAUUUUUAUUAAAGGCAAACCUAAAAGCAACUAUGGUUAUUUACUUUAUUUGUCUCUAAAAACUAAAAAUCCUAAUUUAUUCGGUAAGAUUAUCCAAAGUCAUUAUAAUCGAGUUACAUGAAAUGCAAUCCGAAUUUUAAUAAUUACAAAUAACAACUACGUCACGGGAACCAUGAUUCCCGUACCCAUGGUAAUUAUUAUAACGUGCCAGAAAACACACUACGAUGUUUUAUGAGCUGCCUAUUUUUAGCUUGGAAUUAUUGAAAGUCCAAAACUACAGAUAUUCAUUUGCUGGACAAAGUGUGCAUGAAUUUCAACAAAAUUAUAAAAGCAUUCCAGUAAGCUAACAAUUAAUAGACCAAUUACCGCCAGUGAGAGUAUCAUAUUUCAUGGCUUUAUGUAGUUAAGAUUUCCUUUUGCUUUCAAGAUCCAACAAUUCAACCAAACAUUCAUAACACGUUCAAGAUUUUUCAACUAAUAUAAAACAAUUAAAUGAUGCAUCAAAAUCAAACAAACAUAACAUUCAACUAACCAAUAGUGAAGAAAAAAUAAGAAUGAACCUCAACUUGAAGCAAGGAUGCAAUGAUUAGCCAUGACUCGAACAACCCCGACAGAAGACCUUGAAUCUGCCCGGAACCGAAAAAGAGAGGUUCCCCAUAUGGGUAUGGUCUUUGGCGGCUGAAGAGUCUCCUUUAGACUAGGUUUUAUUUUUC
This 32456-nucleotide long non-coding RNA is filed under the name Nicotiana benthamiana. RNAcentral describes it as "long non-coding RNA (NBEN_LNC041462)". The record is from RNAcentral. Lineage: Eukaryota; Viridiplantae; Streptophyta; Magnoliopsida; Solanales; Solanaceae.